RNAcentral lists this ribosomal RNA (468 nucleotides) under uncultured bacterium. RNAcentral describes it as "partial 16S ribosomal RNA". It matches the Rfam family "Bacterial small subunit ribosomal RNA", at positions 28 to 507 of the family's 1533-position model. The record is from RNAcentral.
GACGAACGCUGGCGGCGUGCUUAACACAUGCAAGUCGAACGGAAAGGCCCUGCUUUUGUGGGGUGCUCGAGUGGCGAACGGGUGAGUAACACGUGAGUAACCUGCCCUUGACUUUGGGAUAACUUCAGGAAACUGGGGCUAAUACCGGAUAGGAGCUCCUGCUGCAUGGUGGGGGUUGGAAAGUUUCGGCGGUUGGGGAUGGACUCGCGGCUUAUCAGCUUGUUGGUGGGGUAGUGGCUUACCAAGGCUUAGACGGGUAGCCGGCCUGAGAGGGUGACCGGCCACCUGGGGCCUGAGAUACGGCCCAGACUCCUACGGGAGGCAGCAGUGGGGAAUAUUGCACAAUGGGCGGAAGUCUGAUGCAGCAACGCCGCGUGCGGGAUGACGGCCUUCGGGUUGUAAACCGCUUUCGCCUGUGACGAAGCGUGAGUGACGGUAAUGGGUAAAGAAGCACCGGCUAACUACGUG